UACGGAGGGUGCAAGCGUUGUUCGGAAUUAUUGGGCGUAAAGGGCGCGUAGGUGGUUGUGAUAGUCAGAUGUGAAAUCCUUUGGCUUAACUGAAGAACUGCAUCUGAAACUUCACAACUCGAGUACAGGAGAGGGAAACGGAAUUCCCGGUGUAGAGGUGAAAUUCGUAGAUAUCGGGAGGAACACCAGUGGCGAAGGCGGUUUCCUGGCCUGAUACUGACACUGAGGCGCGAAAGCGUGGGGAGCAAACAGG
Molecule: ribosomal RNA, 253 nt
Filed under: uncultured bacterium
Lineage: Bacteria
Also listed under: 1 other name
Description: partial 16S ribosomal RNA
Rfam family: Bacterial small subunit ribosomal RNA
Source: RNAcentral